ACGAAGGUGGCAAGCGUUGUUCGGAUUUACUGGGCGUACAGGGAGCGUAGGCGGUUUGGUAAGCCCUCCGUGAAAUCUUCGGGCUCAACCCGGAAAGUUCAGAGGGGACUGCUCGGCUAGAGGAUGGGAGAGGAGCGCGGAAUUCCCGGUGUAGCGGUGAAAUGCGUAGAUAUUGGGAGGAACACCAGUGGCGAAGGCGGCUCACUGGACCGGUUCUGACGCUGAGGCGCGAAAGCGUGGGGAGCAAACGGGA
RNAcentral lists this ribosomal RNA (253 nucleotides) under uncultured prokaryote. RNAcentral describes it as "partial 16S ribosomal RNA". It matches the Rfam family "Bacterial small subunit ribosomal RNA", at positions 525 to 777 of the family's 1533-position model. The record is from RNAcentral.